GGAGAAGAAAGCAGGCAGAGUGAACCUGGGAAGGAAGUGUACAGGUCAUGGUGCUGCCACAGAAGAUUGGAGAAGUACUGAAGGAAUCUUGAUGUAGCUCUCAGCCCCUGCUCUAGUAUCAUGACUGCCUCCAUUCUCCUACCCUGCCCUCACCAUGAUGAUAAUGGAGUAACCCUCUGAAACUCUAGAGGUCAUGAUUGUCAACAGGUUGAUGAAUAUUCUUCUUCGCUCCUCAUGAUGUAAAAAAAUCAUAUCCUGAAGUCAAGGUGUUCAAGUGCCUUCUGUUGGAACUACUAUGUGGGAGCUUCUUAGAUUAUGCCCUUUCCUUUCAUGCACAAUGCUGUAGAUCUGGAUUACUGUACGCUAGUAAAAUGUAAUGUUAAGGGUAAUGAAAACCGUUUGUUUAUUGGGUGUUUAUCAUUGAUUCUAGAUAUUAUGUAUACAGUAUAG
This is a long non-coding RNA of Mesocricetus auratus (golden hamster), 450 nucleotides long. RefSeq lists it as uncharacterized. The transcript is spliced from 3 exons. The record is from RefSeq and is a predicted model, not a curated record. NCBI's taxonomy places the organism in Eukaryota, Metazoa, Chordata, Mammalia, Rodentia, Cricetidae.